AGAGAGCGAUCGUUGCACGAACUCGAACGCUAGCUGCAAAAUGAUGACGUGAUUCACAAAGUGAGACAGUUACAGAGCCACAAACUCGAACAACAGAGGCAGAAACGAGAAUAAAUCGCAGCGGCGCCGGCUGCUAGAUUUAGGAUCCAGAUUUGGGGUUUAGGGUCUCACUGGUCUAGAUUUCAAUUAUUACACAUGAAUCUAUUUAUUUCAAUGAUGAUGAAUUU
Molecule: long non-coding RNA, 227 nt
Filed under: Trifolium pratense (red clover)
Lineage: Eukaryota; Viridiplantae; Streptophyta; Magnoliopsida; Fabales; Fabaceae
Description: long non-coding RNA (TPRA_LNC012501)
Source: RNAcentral